This 218-nucleotide ribosomal RNA is filed under the name uncultured bacterium. Its description in RNAcentral is "partial 16S ribosomal RNA". It matches the Rfam family "Bacterial small subunit ribosomal RNA", at positions 130 to 334 of the family's 1533-position model. The record is from RNAcentral.
CCUAGAGGGGGACAACAGUUGGAAACGACUGCUAAUACCGCAUACGAUCUGACCUCGGCAUCGAGGAUGGAUGAAAGGUGGCCUCUAUUUAUAAGCUAUCACUGAAGGAGGGGAUUGCGUCUGAUUAGCUAGUUGGAGGGGUAACGGCCCACCAAGGCGAUGAUCAGUAGCCGGUCUGAGAGGAUGAACGGCCACAUUGGGACUGAGACACGGCCCAG